RNAcentral lists this ribosomal RNA (253 nucleotides) under uncultured bacterium. Its description in RNAcentral is "partial 16S ribosomal RNA". It matches the Rfam family "Bacterial small subunit ribosomal RNA", at positions 524 to 776 of the family's 1533-position model. The record is from RNAcentral.
UACAGAGGUGGCAAGCGUUGUUCGGAAUUACUGGGCGUAAAGGGCGCGUAGGCGGUCCUGUAAGUCCUGUGUGAAAUCCCCCGGCUCAACUGGGGAAUUGCACGGGAAACUGCGGGGCUUGAGUUCGGGAGAGGGAAGCGGAAUUCCGGGUGUAGCGGUGAAAUGCGCAGAUAUCAGGAGGAACACCGGUGGCGAAGGCGGGACUCUGGGCCGAUACUGACGCUGAGGAGCGAAAGCGUGGGGAGCAAACAGG